Molecule: ribosomal RNA, 355 nt
Filed under: uncultured bacterium
Lineage: Bacteria
Description: bacterial SSU rRNA
Rfam family: Bacterial small subunit ribosomal RNA
Source: RNAcentral
AGAGUUUGAUCAUGGCUCAGGAUGAACGCUAGCUACAGGCUUAACACAUGCAAGUCGAGGGGAAACGAUAUUGGAAGCUUGCUUCCGAUAGGCGUCGACCGGCGCACGGGUGAGUAACGCGUAUCCAACCUGCCCACCACUUGGGGAUAACCUUGCGAAAGUAAGACUAAUACCCAAUGACGUCUCUAGAAGACAUCUGAAAGAGAUUAAAGAUUUAUCGGUGAUGGAUGGGGAUGCGUCUGAUUAGCUUGUUGGCGGGGUAACGGCCCACCGAAGGCUACGAUCAGUAGGGGUUCUGGAGAGGAAGGUCCCCCACACUUGGAACUGAGACACGGUCCAAACUCCUACGGGAGCA